Molecule: long non-coding RNA, 204 nt
Filed under: Elaeis guineensis (African oil palm)
Lineage: Eukaryota; Viridiplantae; Streptophyta; Magnoliopsida; Arecales; Arecaceae
Description: long non-coding RNA (EGUI_LNC055362)
Source: RNAcentral
GAGUCUAAAAAUUCUUCCACUAUCUUAUACGAAUUGGUAGCCUCUACCUCCAACUUGAGGAAUUACUUUAAUUUCUUAGUGGGUACUAGAAUCCACACAGACUGCACACAAGUCUGACUUUGGCCGGCUUAUCCAUGUGCAUCUAAGGGUAGGUUCAUUAACCAAUUAUUUCACCAAAUAAUUUUUAAUAAUUAAUUUAGCCCC